RNAcentral lists this unclassified non-coding RNA (341 nucleotides) under Hevea brasiliensis (rubber tree). Lineage: Eukaryota; Viridiplantae; Streptophyta; Magnoliopsida; Malpighiales; Euphorbiaceae. The record is from RNAcentral.
AAACAACUCAGGGUGCCUUAUUAGCAUAGCCCUUAAUCUGUUUGGCAAACCAAACUCCUUUCUAAAAUGUGUUAAGUGAUCAACCAAAGUCCUCUUCUCAACCAUCAUCCCUAAAACUUCUCUCACCACUGCACAAGCCCUCUUCUCAGCAUUAAUAGACUCUUUAUAGAAAUCAUUCACUCUUGUCUUAUAAGGACAUACAUCCGGUAAUUCUUUAAACUUUAUAAGGUACUCUUCAUGCCGUCUCUUCAAAUUUAGUCCUCUUCUAAGUUUUAAGUGCUUGAACUUUAAUGGCCGAUCUACAAUCAAUCCAAGUGAAACAUGGUCAACUUCAUGAGACG